CAGCCGCCGCGGUAAUACGAAGGGGGCUAGCGUUGCUCGGAAUUACUGGGCGUAAAGGGCGCGUAGGCGGACAGUUCAGUCGGGGGUGAAAGCCCGGGGCUCAACCUCGGAAUUGCCUUCGAUACUGGCUGUCUUGAGUAUGAGAGAGGUGUGUGGAACUCCGAGUGUAGAGGUGAAAUUCGUAGAUAUUCGGAAGAACACCAGUGGCGAAGGCGACACACUGGCUCAUUCUAGACGCUGAGGUGCGAAAGCGUGGGGAGCAAACAGGAUUAGAUACCCCAGUAGUCCCUGUCUCUUAUAC
This 301-nucleotide ribosomal RNA is filed under the name uncultured bacterium. RNAcentral describes it as "partial 16S ribosomal RNA". It matches the Rfam family "Bacterial small subunit ribosomal RNA", at positions 509 to 807 of the family's 1533-position model. The record is from RNAcentral.